This 320-nucleotide ribosomal RNA is filed under the name uncultured Chloroflexota bacterium. Its description in RNAcentral is "bacterial SSU rRNA". It matches the Rfam family "Bacterial small subunit ribosomal RNA", at positions 28 to 354 of the family's 1533-position model. The record is from RNAcentral. Lineage: Bacteria; Bacillati; Chloroflexota.
GAUGAACGCUGGCGGCGUGCCUAAUACAUGCAAGUCGAACGGAGAGAGUAGCAAUACUGUCUUAGUGGCGAACGGGUGAGUAACGCGUUGGUGACCUGCCCCGAAGAGAGGGAUAACAGUUCGAAAGGACUGCUAAUACCCCAUGAUAUCUGCCUAGUUAGAGAGGGCAGAUGAAAGGAGCAAUCCGCUUUGGGAGGGGCCUGCGUCCCAUCAGCUAGUUGGUAAGGUAAAGCUUACCAAGGCGAGACGGGUAGGGGCCUGAGAGGGUGACCCCCCACACUGGCGACUGAACAACGGCCGACACACCUACGGGUGGGCAG